CCAAAUGAUUGAUGGAUGUGGAGUUAGUGGAGAACUACACUGAAAGGCUUAGUCUGGGACUCUCCACCAAGGUAGAUUUGGCGGUACAGACCCAUUGCUGUGGUACUCCAGAUUGUGAACAGGUGCAUCCAAUGUGCUUUACUUACCCUCGAGAUGCGUCCAGUAUGGAAGAUUAUUUGUGCUGUCACACACGUACCAGCCGCAGGAAAACCUGUCUGAUUCAGAGCUGAUGACGUUGCUUCUGGCACUCAGCAUGACGCCACUUCCGGUUCUGGUGCCUAGAAGAAUGUCACUCCCGGUGCACAGACUGACGUCACUUCCAGUUCCGGUUCCUCUACAUCACUUCCGGUCUGAUCGAUUAAAGCUGCC
This is a long non-coding RNA of Polypterus senegalus (gray bichir), 369 nucleotides long. RefSeq lists it as uncharacterized. Lineage: Eukaryota; Metazoa; Chordata; Cladistia; Polypteriformes; Polypteridae. The transcript is spliced from 3 exons. The record is from RefSeq and is a predicted model, not a curated record.